CCUCCCAGCAGUGGGUAAAGAGGCCCCUUAUUGUUGGUGUUGUUCUUAUAUCAGUCAGGAACAGAGCAAUCAGCAGUCCUUUCUUCAUCCUAGCUUGAUGCCUGGCUUGGUAACCAAAGCUGUUUUAUGCUUAGGACAUUUUA
This is a small nucleolar RNA of Mastomys coucha (southern multimammate mouse), 143 nucleotides long. RefSeq annotates it as small nucleolar RNA SNORA48. Lineage: Eukaryota; Metazoa; Chordata; Mammalia; Rodentia; Muridae. The record is from RefSeq and is a predicted model, not a curated record. The transcript has a single exon.